This 567-nucleotide ribosomal RNA is filed under the name uncultured Phenylobacterium sp. Its description in RNAcentral is "bacterial SSU rRNA". It matches the Rfam family "Bacterial small subunit ribosomal RNA", at positions 329 to 914 of the family's 1533-position model. Lineage: Bacteria; Pseudomonadati; Pseudomonadota; Alphaproteobacteria; Caulobacterales; Caulobacteraceae. The record is from RNAcentral.
CAGGUCACUCCUACGGGAGGCAGCAGUAGGGAAUCUUGCGCAAUGGGCGAAAGCCUGACGCAGCCAUGCCGCGUGAAUGAUGAAGGUCUUAGGAUUGUAAAAUUCUUUCACCGGGGAAGAUAAUGACGGUACCCGGAGAAGAAGCCCCGGCUAACUUCGUGCCAGCAGCCGCGGUAAUACGAAGGGGGCUAGCGUUGCUCGGAAUUACUGGGCGUAAAGGGCGCGUAGGCGGAUGUUUAAGUCGGGGGUGAAAGCCCGGGGCUCAACCUCGGAAUUGCCUUCGAUACUGGCGGCCUUGAGUAUGGCAGAGGUGUGUGGAACUCCGAGUGUAGAGGUGAAAUUCGUAGAUAUUCGGAAGAACACCAGUGGCGAAGGCGACACACUGGGCCAUUACUGACGCUGAGGCGCGAAAGCGUGGGGAGCAAACAGGAUUAGAUACCCUGGUAGUCCACGCUGUAAACGAUGAGUGCUAGUUGUCGGCAUGCAUGCAUGUCGGUGACGCAGCUAACGCAUUAAGCACUCCGCCUGGGGAGUACGGUCGCAAGAUUAAAACUUAAAGGAAUUGAC